GUGCGGUCUGGGGGAGCGAAACGAAAACAAAACUGUGGUGCCGCCUUCAACACCAACGACAGUUAUUUCUUUAGCUUUUAAGGUGCCGUUAUGGGUUUGUUUCGGGUGGCUAGCCGGGUUGGUCUGGAGCAGAAGAGCAAGAUUCGGGUCCAAUAAACACCUCAAAGGUCCACUAGAUUUCCAGGGUGUUUCCACAAUGGGUGAAAGUUGUUAGAAGACAAUCCACUGAUGGCUCCGUUGCAUCACCCAUCAGAGCUUGGUCCAGGACAGCCUGGCUCAGCUGAAGGGAGAGGACAGCCAUGGCUGGGUACCAGAGCAGCUCACGGGACUGAAAAAGCAAAAUGCAAAUGUCACCAGCGUUCAAAAUGGGAGGGAACUUUCCAGACAUCAAAACGGAGGAGAGGAGGAGAAUGUUAUCCACUUUGAAGCAACAUAGGGAAGAAAGAAGGGUAUAAAAUGAAGUAAAUAAAAAUGUCUCCUUUACACAACUCUUCCUCCUUUUUUACCACCAUGGGUGUGUCCAUAGUGUUGCUGUUUCCUGCACCAUACCCCUUCCUUCACAAGUAAAAUAUUUGUGGAAAGCCUUGCCAGUUUCACCAGUGUACCUUUUCUCUUGGAAGGUGUAUGCUUGCAUAUGGGCUCUAGUGAAAUGUAAGCAAUUCAUUUUUGAUUUAUCCAAGAAACUAAAGAAGCAACCGUUUCAAAGGACUGCAGAGAGGUUGAAGCCCCCCCGCCCCAACUCUGCUAGUUUCUCCUGAGAACAGAUGGGGGCGUCCACCAGAAAAAAGGGAGAUUUGACAAAAAUGAGUGCUGGAUGAAACGAAGAUUUCCCCAGCCUUUUUUUCCCCACUGGAAGAAUAUGAGAAGCAUAAAAGAAAUCAGCAUUUUUUUAUUAUCAAAUUGUUUGAAAAAUGCAUGUAUGAUCUCAGCCUUAAUUUGAACUAAACUUCUGCAUAACCAGAGGUGAGGAAGCUUUUUAUACACCCACACAGAUCAAAGUCCUUUUAGCAGAGGAAAUGAAGAGAAUAAACAAAAGAGUAUCUUACAGUACAGAUGGCUACAUGAUUAUAUAAGAAACUCUACCUUUGCAGUAGAAAAAAGGUCUGCCCUUACUGGCACGAGUAGAUCUGCACAAAUAUUAAUAUGCCACAGAUGAGUUAACCAUCAAUUUGUGCUGAAAAUAGCUACAAGAACUAGAUAAACAUCAAAGCCUGUAGAAGCAUGUACUUAACUCUGCUCAGGGCUGUGUGUCUGCUGCUAGCUUGUGGGAGCAGACAGAAUGUUGUAUCUCAGCUUUCAUUUUAUAAAGUUUCUAGCCCUUAUGGCUAUCAAAAAAAAAGCCAGAGAAGUUUGCAGCUGUCAACAUGCUGACUGAGAAAUAAGUGUAAUUGAAGUGUAAUGCUUGAGAUCGUGCCAUAAGAUUUCAAGUUGUCAAGGAAUUGGGUCUCAGUAUGCUACAUAGCUCCCUGCCCUCCA
Eublepharis macularius is the source of this 1476-nucleotide long non-coding RNA. RefSeq lists it as uncharacterized. The transcript has 3 exons. The record is from RefSeq and is a predicted model, not a curated record. Lineage: Eukaryota; Metazoa; Chordata; Lepidosauria; Squamata; Eublepharidae.